RNAcentral lists this long non-coding RNA (565 nucleotides) under Trifolium pratense (red clover). Its description in RNAcentral is "long non-coding RNA (TPRA_LNC006479)". The record is from RNAcentral. Lineage: Eukaryota; Viridiplantae; Streptophyta; Magnoliopsida; Fabales; Fabaceae.
GAGCCUUAGUGUUAUACAUUAGUGAAUAUGAAAGCUAAAACUGCAUCAAAACCUAGUCCUACAAGCUGAAAUCAAAGAGACAUAACAAAAUCAAACUACUACCUGAAAAAAAGAGUCAUGGUGGCUGAUUAUACUAGAGUAAAUGUAGAAGACAAACCUUGUUGAAGAGAUGCUAUUAGUCAAUGACUAGUAGAAAAAACCAUAUGACCCCUGUUAGAAAACACUAGUAGAAAAAACACUUUUAUUGUGUUAAUAUUAUUAGGCUUUCUCCAAAACUAGUACAUGAGAAGCAAGGCAGGACAAACUACAGCCUGAAACAAAGAACUGCUACUAAGUAAGAGAAUAUCUAAAAUAUUUUUCUUCUUAUACAUAAAGAUGCAGCAUGAAAGAACAAGUAGACUAGAGCACAGCAAACUAAACAAGUGGAAAACAUCUUUAAUAUUACUAUUACAUGUAUUGGAUAUUGAAACCAGAUGAAAAGACUACUCCAUAUAGCGUUUUACAUCUGACAUAUGCUCGUCAGAUGUAAACUACUUGUGUAAUAUGUCAUAUUUGUACUAGUGUG